UACGAAGGGGGCUAGCGUUGCUCGGAAUCACUGGGCGUAAAGGGUGCGUAGGCGGGUCUUUAAGUCAGGGGUGAAAUCCUGGAGCUCAACUCCAGAACUGCCUUUGAUACUGAAGAUCUUGAGUUCGGGAGAGGUGAGUGGAACUGCGAGUGUAGAGGUGAAAUUCGUAGAUAUUCGGAGGAACACCAGUGGCGAAGGCGGCUCACUGGUCCAUUACUGACGCUGAGGUGCGAAAGCGUGGGGAGCAAACGGG
Molecule: ribosomal RNA, 253 nt
Filed under: uncultured bacterium
Lineage: Bacteria
Description: partial 16S ribosomal RNA
Rfam family: Bacterial small subunit ribosomal RNA
Source: RNAcentral